This 956-nucleotide ribosomal RNA is filed under the name Klebsiella sp. RNAcentral describes it as "bacterial SSU rRNA". It matches the Rfam family "Bacterial small subunit ribosomal RNA", at positions 556 to 1508 of the family's 1533-position model. The record is from RNAcentral. Lineage: Bacteria; Pseudomonadati; Pseudomonadota; Gammaproteobacteria; Enterobacterales; Enterobacteriaceae.
GGGCGUAAGCGCACGCAGGCGUGUCUGUCAAGUCGGAUGUGAAAUACCCCGGGCUCACCUGGGAACUGCAUUCGAAACUGGCAGGCUAGAGUCUUGUAGAGGGGGGUAGAAUUCCAGGUGUAGCGGUGAAAUGCGUAGAGAUCUGGAGGAAUACCGGUGGCGAAGGCGGCCCCCUGGACAAAGACUGACGCUCAGGUGCGAAAGCGUGGGGAGCAAACAGGAUUAGAUACCCUGGUAGUCCACGCUGUAAACGAUGUCGAUUUGGAGGUUGUGCCCUUGAGGCGUGGCUUCCGGAGCUAACGCGUUAAAUCGACCGCCUGGGGAGUACGGCCGCAAGGUUAAAACUCAAAUGAAUUGACGGGGGCCCGCACAAGCGGUGGAGCAUGUGGUUUAAUUCGAUGCAACGCGAAGAACCUUACCUGGUCUUGACAUCCACAGAACUUUCCAGAGAUGGAUUGGUGCCUUCGGGAACUGUGAGACAGGUGCUGCAUGGCUGUCGUCAGCUCGUGUUGUGAAAUGUUGGGUUAAGUCCCGCAACGAGCGCAACCCUUAUCCUUUGUUGCCAGCGGUUAGGCCGGGAACUCAAAGGAGACUGCCAGUGAUAAACUGGAGGAAGGUGGGGAUGACGUCAAGUCAUCAUGGCCCUUACGACCAGGGCUACACACGUGCUACAAUGGCAUAUACAAAGAGAAGCGACCUCGCGAGAGCAAGCGGACCUCAUAAAGUAUGUCGUAGUCCGGAUUGGAGUCUGCAACUCGACUCCAUGAAGUCGGAAUCGCUAGUAAUCGUAGAUCAGAAUGCUACGGUGAAUACGUUCCCGGGCCUUGUACACACCGCCCGUCACACCAUGGGGAGUGGGUUGCAAAAGAAGUAGGUAGCUUAACCUUCGGGAGGGCGCUUACCACUUUGUGAUUCAUGACUGGGGGUGAAGUCGUAACAGGGGGUACCCGUAAAAG